AGCGUAGGCGGACAUUUAAGUCAGGGGUGAAAUCUCGGGGCUCAACCUCGGAAUUGCCUUUGAUACUGGGUGUCUUGAGUAUGAGAGAGGUGUGUGGAACUCCGAGUGUAGAGGUGAAAUUCGUAGAUAUUCGGAAGAACACCAGUGGCGAAGGCGACACACUGGCUCAUUACUGACGCUGAGGCUCGAAAGCGUGGGGAGCAAACA
RNAcentral lists this ribosomal RNA (207 nucleotides) under uncultured bacterium. Its description in RNAcentral is "partial 16S ribosomal RNA". It matches the Rfam family "Bacterial small subunit ribosomal RNA", at positions 568 to 774 of the family's 1533-position model. The record is from RNAcentral.